This 1049-nucleotide ribosomal RNA is filed under the name Salmonella enterica. RNAcentral describes it as "partial 23S ribosomal RNA". It matches the Rfam family "Bacterial large subunit ribosomal RNA", at positions 711 to 1757 of the family's 2925-position model. The record is from RNAcentral. Lineage: Bacteria; Pseudomonadati; Pseudomonadota; Gammaproteobacteria; Enterobacterales; Enterobacteriaceae. RNAcentral also lists the same sequence under 6 other names.
AGACCCGAAACCCGGUGAUCUAGCCAUGGGCAGGUUGAAGGUUGGGUAACACUAACUGGAGGACCGAACCGACUAAUGUUGAAAAAUUAGCGGAUGACCUGUGGCUGGGGGUGAAAGGCCAAUCAAACCGGGAGAUAGCUGGUUCUCCCCGAAAGCUAUUUAGGUAGCGCCUCGUGAAUUCAUCUCCGGGGGUAGAGCACUGUUUCGGCUAGGGGGCCAUCCCGGCUUACCAACCCGAUGCAAACUGCGAAUACCGGAGAAUGUUAUCACGGGAGACACACGGCGGGUGCUAACGUCCGUCGUGAAGAGGGAAACAACCCAGACCGCCAGCUAAGGUCCCAAAGUCAUGGUUAAGUGGGAAACGAUGUGGGAAGGCCCAGACAGCCAGGAUGUUGGCUUAGAAGCAGCCAUCAUUUAAAGAAAGCGUAAUAGCUCACUGGUCGAGUCGGCCUGCGCGGAAGAUGUAACGGGGCUAAACCAUGCACCGAAGCUGCGGCAGCGACGCUGAUGCGUUGUUGGGUAGGGGAGCGUUCUGUAAGCCUGCGAAGGUGGCCUGUGAGGGUUGCUGGAGGUAUCAGAAGUGCGAAUGCUGACAUAAGUAACGAUAAAGCGGGUGAAAAGCCCGCUCGCCGGAAGACCAAGGGUUCCUGUCCAACGUUAAUCGGGGCAGGGUGAGUCGACCCCUAAGGCGAGGCCGAAAGGCGUAGUCGAUGGGAAACGGGUUAAUAUUCCCGUACUUGGUGUUACUGCGAAGGGGGGACGGAGAAGGCUAUGUUGGCCGGGCGACGGUUGUCCCGGUUUAAGCGUGUAGGUGUGUGUUCCAGGUAAAUCCGGUUCACUUUAACACUGAGGCGUGAUGACGAGGCACUACGGUGCUGAAGCAACAAAUGCCCUGCUUCCAGGAAAAGCCUCUAAGCAUCAGGUAACAUCAAAUCGUACCCCAAACCGACACAGGUGGUCAGGUAGAGAAUACCAAGGCGCUUGAGAGAACUCGGGUGAAGGAACUAGGCAAAAUGGUGCCGUAACUUCGGGAGAAGGCACGCUGACAC